RNAcentral lists this ribosomal RNA (206 nucleotides) under uncultured bacterium. Its description in RNAcentral is "partial 16S ribosomal RNA". It matches the Rfam family "Bacterial small subunit ribosomal RNA", at positions 1295 to 1500 of the family's 1533-position model. The record is from RNAcentral.
AGAUUGUAGGCUGAAACUCGCCUAUAUGAAGUCGGAAUUGCUAGUAAUCGCGGAUCAGCAUGCUGCGGUGAAUACGUUCCCGGGCCUUGUACACACCGCCCGUCACACCAUGAGAGUCGAUAACACCCGAAGCCUGUAGUCUAACCAUAAGGAGGACGCAGUCGAAGGUGGGAUUGAUAAUUAGGGUGAAGUCGUAACAAGGUAUC